CAAAUCCUGAAAAAUCUAAGAGUAUUAAGUCUAUAAAUACUUCUAUUUCUGAAGCUUUAUCUUACAAUCUUUAUAUACAUAGUGAGCUUCUAGUAAUUCCCUAGAGGGAGUCUUUACAAUUAAUAUUUCUUUUAAAGGUUCACGACUAGUAUCAAAUUUACAAGCAAAUGCACAGGAGAUAAAAGAAUGAGGAGCACCUGUCUCGAUCAAAGUCUUGGUAAAAGUAUCAUAAAUAGAAAGCAUACCCUAGAUAAGGAUAGGAGUGGAGAGCGCACCUGGUUCGUCUAGGUGGUACACACGUCCCUGGGCUACAGGUCUUGCCACGUCCUUCUACCACUAAGGGCAAUCCCUUAUAAGGUGUUGGGUGCUUCUGCACCGAUAGCAAGCAUGAUUGAUACGUCGACAGGGUAGGUCACCUUGUGAAAGACCACAAUGCUGACAUUGUUGGAAGGGUCGGGCAGGCUUUCCAGAAGGUGGAGGUAGGGUUGGGGAAAAGGUAACUCAGGUUUGUUUAUCGA
Molecule: long non-coding RNA, 518 nt
Filed under: Carica papaya (papaya)
Lineage: Eukaryota; Viridiplantae; Streptophyta; Magnoliopsida; Brassicales; Caricaceae
Description: long non-coding RNA (CPAP_LNC008988)
Source: RNAcentral